AUUGAACGCUGGCGGCGUGCCUAACACAUGCAAGUCGAGCGGUAACAGGUGUAGCAAUACAUGCUGACGAGCGGCGGACGGGUGAGUAACGCUUGGGAAUCUGCCUGAUAGUGGGGGACAACCCGGGGAAACUCGGGCUAAUACCGCAUACGCACUACGGUGGAAAGCCGGGGACCGCAAGGCCUGGCGCUAACAGAUGAGCCCAAGUCGGAUUAGCUAGUUGGUAGGGUAACGGCCUACCAAGGCGACGAUCCGUAACUGGUCUGAGAGGACGACCAGUCACACCGGAACGGAGACACGGUCCGGACUCCUACGGGAGGCAGCAGUGGGGAAUAUUGGACAAUGGGCGAAAGCCUGAUUCAGCGACGCCGCGUGGGUGAAGAAGGCCUGCGGGUUGUAAAGCCCUUUCGGUGGGGAAGAAAAGCCUCGAGCUAAUACCUCGGGGUCUUGACGUAACCCAUAGAAGAAGCACCGGCUAACUCUGUGCCAGCCGCCGCAGUAA
This 502-nucleotide ribosomal RNA is filed under the name uncultured bacterium. Its description in RNAcentral is "partial 16S ribosomal RNA". It matches the Rfam family "Bacterial small subunit ribosomal RNA", at positions 29 to 523 of the family's 1533-position model. The record is from RNAcentral.